This 338-nucleotide ribosomal RNA is filed under the name uncultured bacterium. RNAcentral's name for it is "bacterial SSU rRNA". It matches the Rfam family "Bacterial small subunit ribosomal RNA", at positions 167 to 507 of the family's 1533-position model. The record is from RNAcentral.
AGAUGGAUAUAUAAUUCACGACAUCCGUGGAAAUAUCAAAUCUUCGGAGCCCUUGGGAUGAGCCUGCGUCUGAUUAGGUAGUUGGCGGAGUAAUAGCCCACCAAGCCUACGAUCAGUAGCUGGUCUGAGAGGAUGAUCAGCCACACUGGAACUGAGACACGGUCCAGACUCCUACGGGAGGCAGCAGUAAGGAAUAUUGCUCAAUGGGGGAAACCCUGAAGCAGCAACGCCGCGUGAAGGAUGAAAUACUUUUGUAUGUAAACUUCUGUAAGAUGGGAAAAAUAUUCUCCUCGGGAGAAUUGAUUGUACCAUCAGAGUAAGCCCCGGCUAACUACGUG